This 389-nucleotide long non-coding RNA is filed under the name Nicotiana benthamiana. RNAcentral's name for it is "long non-coding RNA (NBEN_LNC015160)". Lineage: Eukaryota; Viridiplantae; Streptophyta; Magnoliopsida; Solanales; Solanaceae. The record is from RNAcentral.
CAACUAACUGAAGUUCCUUCCUUGGAACCGUCUUCAGCGAGAGGAAUCGGUCCAGUAUGUUAAUUGCAAGGUAAAGGCUCUCAGGCAUAAGCUCAAAUUUCCUGUGAACUUCUAUUAACCAGUCCACUAAAAUGGCUCUCAUCUUGUGAUUGAGCGAGAGGAAUCGAUCCAGUAUGUUAAUUGCAAGGUAAAGGCUCUCAGGCAUAAGCUCAAAUUUCCUGUGAACUUCUAUUAACCAGUCCACUAAAAUGGCUCUCAUCUUGUGAUUCAGGUCUGGCUGAAAGUUCAUGUAAUCAUCCACUCGAUUUUCACCCUGGAUCAGACAAUCACAGAGAAAUGAGAUUCUAAACAGAAAUAGAACAAGAGAAUGAGAUUCACAACUAUACCUC